Molecule: ribosomal RNA, 465 nt
Filed under: Vreelandella stevensii
Lineage: Bacteria; Pseudomonadati; Pseudomonadota; Gammaproteobacteria; Oceanospirillales; Halomonadaceae
Description: partial 16S ribosomal RNA
Rfam family: Bacterial small subunit ribosomal RNA
Source: RNAcentral
CCUACGGGUGGCUGCAGUGGGGAAUAUUGGACAAUGGGCGAAAGCCUGAUCCAGCCAUGCCGCGUGUGUGAAGAAGGCCUUCGGGUUGUAAAGCACUUUCAGUGGGGAAGAAAGCCUUGGGGCUAAUACCCUCGAGGAAGGACAUCACCCACAGAAGAAGCACCGGCUAACUCCGUGCCAGCAGCCGCGGUAAUACGGAGGGUGCGAGCGUUAAUCGGAAUUACUGGGCGUAAAGCGCGCGUAGGCGGUCUGAUAAGCCGGUUGUGAAAGCCCCGGGCUCAACCUGGGAACGGCAUCCGGAACUGUCAGGCUAGAGUGCAGGAGAGGAAGGUAGAAUUCCCGGUGUAGCGGUGAAAUGCGUAGAGAUCGGGAGGAAUACCAGUGGCGAAGGCGGCCUUCUGGACUGACACUGACGCUGAGGUGCAAAAGCGUGGGUAGCAAACAGGAUUAGAUACCCUGGUAGUC